GUCCAGACUCCUACGGGAGGCAGCAGUGGGGAAUAUUGCACAAUGGGGGAAACCCUGAUGCAGCGACGCCGCGUGAGCGAUGAAGUAUUUCGGUAUGUAAAGCUCUAUCAGCAGGGAAGAAAAUGACGGUACCUGACUAAGAAGCCCCGGCUAACUACGUGCCAGCAGCCGCGGUAAUACGUAGGGGGCAAGCGUUAUCCGGAUUUACUGGGUGUAAGGGGAGCGUAGACGGUCCUGCAAGCCAGAUGUGAAAGCCCGGGGCUCAACCCCGGGACUGCAUUUGGAACUGUAAGGCUAGAGUGUCGGAGAGGCAGGCGGAAUUCCUAGUGUAGCGGUGAAAUGCGUAGAUAUUAGGAGGAACACCAGUGGCGAAGGCGGCCUGCUGGACUGCAACUGACGUUGAGGCUCGAAGGCGUGGGGAGCAAACAGGAUUAGAUACCCCAGUAGUC
RNAcentral lists this ribosomal RNA (449 nucleotides) under uncultured bacterium. RNAcentral's name for it is "bacterial SSU rRNA". It matches the Rfam family "Bacterial small subunit ribosomal RNA", at positions 329 to 795 of the family's 1533-position model. The record is from RNAcentral.